Molecule: small nuclear RNA, 138 nt
Organism: Lontra canadensis (Northern American river otter)
Lineage: Eukaryota; Metazoa; Chordata; Mammalia; Carnivora; Mustelidae
Product: U4 spliceosomal RNA
Exons: 1
Source: RefSeq, a predicted model, not a curated record
AGCUUUGCGCAGUGGCAGUAUCGUAGCCAAUGAGGUUUAUCCGAGGCGCGAUUAUUGCUAAUAAAAUGUACCUUUCAACUUCCUACUCUUUCAGGUCUUGCAUGUACAGGUAAUUUGUAAACUAAUCUGAUAAAUCAG